AAUAUUGGACAAUGGGGGAAACCCUGAUCCAGCAAUGCCGCGUGGGUGAAGAAGGCCUGCGGGAUGUCCAGCCCUUUCGCCUGGGAAGAAAAGCCUGGUGCUAAUACCGCCGGGUCUUGACGUUACCAGGAGAAGAAGCACCGGCUAACUCCGUGCCAGCAGCCGCGGUAAUACAGAGGGUGCAAGCGUUAAUCGGAAUUACUGGGCGUAAAGCGCGCGUAGGUGGUUCAGUAAGAUGGGUGUGAAAUCCCCGGGCUUAACCUGGGAACUGCUUUCAUAACUGCUGAGCUAGAGUACGGUAGAGGGUAGUGGAAUUUCCUGUGUAGCGGUGAAAUGCGUAGAGAUAUGGAGGAACACCAGUGGCGAAGGCGACUCUCUGGUCUGUAACUGACGCUGAGGCGCGAAAGCGUGGGGAUCAAACA
RNAcentral lists this ribosomal RNA (422 nucleotides) under uncultured bacterium. RNAcentral's name for it is "partial 16S ribosomal RNA". It matches the Rfam family "Bacterial small subunit ribosomal RNA", at positions 360 to 774 of the family's 1533-position model. The record is from RNAcentral.